AUUGAACGCUGGCGGCAGGCCUAACACAUGCCAGUCGAACGAGUUGCGGACGGGUGAGUAAUGUCUGUGAACCUGCCUGAUGGCGGGUGAUAACUUCUCGAAACGGUAGCUAAUACCGCAUCCCAUCGGAUGUGCCCAUAUGGGAUUAGCUAGUUGGUGGGGUAAAGGCUCACCUAGGCGACGAUCCCUAGCUGGUCUGAGAGUAUGACCAGCCACACUGGAACUGAGACACGGUCCAGACUCCUACGGGAGGCAGCAGGGGGGAAGAUUGGACAAUGGGCGAAAGCCUGAUGCAGCCAGGCCGCGGGUAUGAAGAAGGCCUUCGGGGUGUAAAGUACUUUGGGCGGGGAGGCGUUACCCGCAGAAGAAGCACCGGCUAACUCCGUGCCAGCAGCCGCGGUAAUAC
This 406-nucleotide ribosomal RNA is filed under the name uncultured bacterium. RNAcentral's name for it is "partial 16S ribosomal RNA". It matches the Rfam family "Bacterial small subunit ribosomal RNA", at positions 30 to 526 of the family's 1533-position model. The record is from RNAcentral.